GGAAGUGUGCCUGAAAGAUAAGGAC
This 25-nucleotide transfer RNA is filed under the name Trachycephalus coriaceus (Surinam golden-eyed treefrog). RNAcentral describes it as "partial tRNA-Ile". The record is from RNAcentral. Lineage: Eukaryota; Metazoa; Chordata; Amphibia; Anura; Hylidae.